GACGAACGCUGGCGGCGUGCCUAAUACAUGCAAGUCGAGCGGGGAUUAUGCUUGAUCGCUUCGGUGAGACGGCAUAUAUCCUAGCGGCGGACGAGUGAGUAACGCGUGGGUAAUCUACCUCGUAGUUCGGGAUAACAGGCCGAAAGGCUUGCUAAUACCGGAUGAGUUCAUGCUUAUGCAUAUAGGCAUGAAGAAAGGGCUAGCCCGCUAUGAGAUGAGCCCGCGUCCCAUUAGCUUGUUGGUGGGGUAAUGGCCUACCAAGGCAACGAUGGGUAGCCGGCCUGAGAGGGUGUACGGCCACACUGGGACUGAGACACGGCCCAGACUCCUACGGGGGCAGCAGUAGGGAAUUUUCGGCAAUGGGCGAAAGCCUGACCGAGCGACGCCGCGUGAGGGACGAAGGCCUUCGGGUUCGUAAACCGUCUGUCGUGGGGGGAGUGGAGAACGGACGGUACCCCGGAGGAACGCCCCGGACGUAACUACGUCGCCAGCCGCCGCGGUAACCACCCGACGAGAGUACG
RNAcentral lists this ribosomal RNA (521 nucleotides) under uncultured bacterium. RNAcentral describes it as "bacterial SSU rRNA". It matches the Rfam family "Bacterial small subunit ribosomal RNA", at positions 28 to 538 of the family's 1533-position model. The record is from RNAcentral.